UACGAAGGGGGCUAGCGUUGUUCGGAAUUACUGGGCGUAAAGCGCACGUAGGCGGACUGGAAAGUUGAGGGUGAAAUCCCAGGGCUCAACCCUGGAACUGCCUUCAAAACUUCUAGUCUUGAGAUCAGUAGAGGCGAGCGGAAUACCGAGUGUAGAGGUGAAAUUCGUAGAUAUUCGGUGGAACACCAGUGGCGAAGGCGGCUCGCUGGACUGAUACUGACGCUGAGGUGCGAAAGCGUGGGGAGCAAACAGG
RNAcentral lists this unclassified non-coding RNA (253 nucleotides) under uncultured Hyphomonadaceae bacterium. RNAcentral describes it as "contains 16S-23S intergenic spacer region". It matches the Rfam family "Bacterial small subunit ribosomal RNA", at positions 524 to 776 of the family's 1533-position model. The record is from RNAcentral. Lineage: Bacteria; Pseudomonadati; Pseudomonadota; Alphaproteobacteria; Hyphomonadales; Hyphomonadaceae.